RNAcentral lists this long non-coding RNA (266 nucleotides) under Chinchilla lanigera (long-tailed chinchilla). Its description in RNAcentral is "lncRNA (ENSCLAG00000024283.1)". Lineage: Eukaryota; Metazoa; Chordata; Mammalia; Rodentia; Chinchillidae. The record is from RNAcentral.
CCAGAAUUAAACUUGUUGAUGCUGACAGCCAUUCACAAUCACAUGAAGCCUGAGAAGAAAGCCAUGAUAAAUAUUCUAAACUCUGAGCUGAUGAGCUUCUGGACUGGAGAAGAGGAGAGGGCCUCAGAGAUCUGCUGUGAACCCUGUAGCCAUGACUGCACCUUGGGGAUUAUUCCUCAUACACCCCGGAAUGUGGUUUUGAGCGAGAAUUUCUGAUCCUAGCUGAAAUCUUCCUAUGUACUUCUGGAGAAAAUGCCUUAAUCCCU